This 119-nucleotide ribosomal RNA is filed under the name Aegilops tauschii subsp. strangulata. The record is from RNAcentral. Lineage: Eukaryota; Viridiplantae; Streptophyta; Magnoliopsida; Poales; Poaceae.
GGAUGCGAUCAUAGCAGCACUAAAGCACCGGAUCCCAUCAGAACUUCGGAGUUAAGCGUGCUUUGGCGAGAGUAGUACUAGGAUGGGUGACCUCCUGGGAAGUCCUCGUGUUGCAUUCC